Struthio camelus australis is the source of this 816-nucleotide non-coding RNA. NCBI's taxonomy places the organism in Eukaryota, Metazoa, Chordata, Aves, Struthioniformes, Struthionidae. The record is from RefSeq and is a predicted model, not a curated record.
GCUGGGGAGGUGAUGGGGACCUGAAUCUGUGUCCUAGGGAAGGGAGGUGUGGAAGGCCCCUUCCUUUCAGGCAGUGCUCUUUGUUUUCAGACAUCUCAGAGCACGCUGUGCCUGUCAGAGGACCACAGCACAAAGCUCAGGGAGGCCUUGGAGCGUGGGGUGGUCUCCUUGAGCCUACAUGACAAUGACAGCAAGGCCACACUGCAGCUCCAGGAAGAGGCCUGUUGCUCAACUUUUGAUCUCUUCAAGUUGCCCUUCACUGAGGCGAGGACCCAGCUCCAGGCACUGAUGUUCAGCUUGGUGGGUUGCGUCAAAAGCCUGGAGAAACGUCUCGAAGCAGUGGGCACUCUGGGGUCUUCAUGCAGUCCUGAGAAGAACACUGUCCGGAGCCAGCAGCUGUUCAUGCCAGAUCCGAGCCCCAGGAAGAACAGAGGUGCUAGCUCAACUUUGCCAGCCAAGAGGAGAGUCCCAGGAGAGUCUCUCAUUAACCCUGGUUUCAAAAGCCUGCGACCAUCCCUCCAUCCCCUUCUAGCAAGAAGGCACCAUCUGGAGUGGACUUCGAAGAUUCCUGACCUCUGCUGUCCCAUCCCCCUGAUGAGUGUCCUACAGGGAGGGUUUUGAACCACAUCUGUGGCUGGUAGUGAUUUUACUGCACCCUGGAUGUGCUGGGCCUCUACUGCUUUCCCUGCUGGCAGGGCCACCCAAGUACCCCACUUGCCAUGAAUUAGGGUUUUUUUUAAAGAACUUUUGUAUCAUGAUGUAAUUAAAAGACUGACUGUGCUUAACUUAUUGCCAAUAAAGCUGCUUUUAGCCAAG